GUUAAAGUUAUAUGUUACUAUAAUUUACUUCUGUCUACCAAAAUAACUUUACCAAAAAUCUCUGGUAUUUAGUGGAAUUUUGUUGUGGUAAAGUAAUAAAAAAGAUACAGUAAAGAAUUGUGAAGUAAUUUAGUUUUCUAUAUGUUUUGUUAUGUAUUUUAAAAAUCUGUGAUUUAACAUUGUGAUUGAAAAAAUGAGAAUAACAAUUAUGCAUCAAUUGAAAAAAAAUGUGUACAAUCGAACUUUUCAGUUAAAAAUCAUACCACAUCUUCUUAUAUCUAUUGAAUGAAUUUGACCCUUGACUUUAACUUCAACUUGUACAUACUCUUGUGAUAAUUCUAAAAAUUUUCUUUUUGUAUUCCAGAUAUAUAUUAAUGGUCCUUUAGACUCCUGAAACCUGGGGCUCUUAGCCAAACACUAAAUUCAAGUCACAGCAACAACUUACAGUCCACUCGGAGCUGGAGACAUAACCAGCAGAAUUUAUAGGUUAGAAUGCUAUU
Molecule: long non-coding RNA, 500 nt
Filed under: Mytilus galloprovincialis (Mediterranean mussel)
Lineage: Eukaryota; Metazoa; Mollusca; Bivalvia; Mytilida; Mytilidae
Source: RNAcentral